RNAcentral lists this ribosomal RNA (517 nucleotides) under uncultured fungus. RNAcentral describes it as "SSU rRNA". It matches the Rfam family "Eukaryotic small subunit ribosomal RNA", at positions 209 to 726 of the family's 1831-position model. The record is from RNAcentral. Lineage: Eukaryota; Fungi.
AUUAGAUACAGAACCAACGCCCUCCGGGGCUUUCUGGUGAAUCACAAUAACUCCGCGGAUCGCACGGCCUUGCGCCGGCGAUGGUUCAUUCAAAUUUCUGCCCUAUCAACUUUCGACGGCUGGGUCUUGGCCAGCCGUGGUGACAACGGGUAACGGAGGGUUAGGGCUUGACCCCGGAGAAGGAGCCUGAGAGACGGCUACUACAUCCAAGGAAGGCAGCAGGCGCGCAAAUUACCCAAUCCCGACUCGGGGAGGUAGUGACAAUAAAUACUGAUCCAGGGCUCUUUUGGGUCUUGGAAUUGGAAUGAGUACAAUUUGAAUCCCUUAACGAGGAACAAUUGGAGGGCAAGUCUGGUGCCAGCAGCCGCGGUAAUUCCAGCUCCAAUAGCGUAUAUUAAAGUUGUUGAGGUUAAAAAGCUCGUAGUUGAACCUUGGCCCUGGCUGGCUGGUCCGCCUCACCGCGAGCACUGGUCCGGCCGGGGCUUUCCCUCUGGGGAUCCUCAUGCCCUUCACUGGG